This 1508-nucleotide ribosomal RNA is filed under the name Bacteroides xylanisolvens. RNAcentral's name for it is "bacterial SSU rRNA". It matches the Rfam family "Bacterial small subunit ribosomal RNA". The record is from RNAcentral. Lineage: Bacteria; Pseudomonadati; Bacteroidota; Bacteroidia; Bacteroidales; Bacteroidaceae. RNAcentral also lists the same sequence under 3 other names.
AGAGUUUGAUCCUGGCUCAGGAUGAACGCUAGCUACAGGCUUAACACAUGCAAGUCGAGGGGCAGCAUUUUAGUUUGCUUGCAAACUAAAGAUGGCGACCGGCGCACGGGUGAGUAACACGUAUCCAACCUGCCGAUAACUCGGGGAUAGCCUUUCGAAAGAAAGAUUAAUAUCCGAUAGUAUAUUAAACCGCAUGGUUUUACUAUUAAAGAAUUUCGGUUAUCGAUGGGGAUGCGUUCCAUUAGUUUGUUGGCGGGGUAACGGCCCACCAAGACUACGAUGGAUAGGGGUUCUGAGAGGAAGGUCCCCCACAUUGGAACUGAGACACGGUCCAAACUCCUACGGGAGGCAGCAGUGAGGAAUAUUGGUCAAUGGACGAGAGUCUGAACCAGCCAAGUAGCGUGAAGGAUGACUGCCCUAUGGGUUGUAAACUUCUUUUAUAUGGGAAUAAAGUAUUCCACGUGUGGAAUUUUGUAUGUACCAUAUGAAUAAGGAUCGGCUAACUCCGUGCCAGCAGCCGCGGUAAUACGGAGGAUCCGAGCGUUAUCCGGAUUUAUUGGGUUUAAAGGGAGCGUAGGUGGAUUGUUAAGUCAGUUGUGAAAGUUUGCGGCUCAACCGUAAAAUUGCAGUUGAAACUGGCAGUCUUGAGUACAGUAGAGGUGGGCGGAAUUCGUGGUGUAGCGGUGAAAUGCUUAGAUAUCACGAAGAACUCCGAUUGCGAAGGCAGCUCACUAGACUGCAACUGACACUGAUGCUCGAAAGUGUGGGUAUCAAACAGGAUUAGAUACCCUGGUAGUCCACACAGUAAACGAUGAAUACUCGCUGUUUGCGAUAUACAGUAAGCGGCCAAGCGAAAGCAUUAAGUAUUCCACCUGGGGAGUACGCCGGCAACGGUGAAACUCAAAGGAAUUGACGGGGGCCCGCACAAGCGGAGGAACAUGUGGUUUAAUUCGAUGAUACGCGAGGAACCUUACCCGGGCUUAAAUUGCAUUUGAAUAAUCUGGAAACAGGUUAGCCGCAAGGCAAAUGUGAAGGUGCUGCAUGGUUGUCGUCAGCUCGUGCCGUGAGGUGUCGGCUUAAGUGCCAUAACGAGCGCAACCCUUAUCUUUAGUUACUAACAGGUCAUGCUGAGGACUCUAGAGAGACUGCCGUCGUAAGAUGUGAGGAAGGUGGGGAUGACGUCAAAUCAGCACGGCCCUUACGUCCGGGGCUACACACGUGUUACAAUGGGGGGUACAGAAGGCAGCUACCUGGCGACAGGAUGCUAAUCCCAAAAACCUCUCUCAGUUCGGAUCGAAGUCUGCAACCCGACUUCGUGAAGCUGGAUUCGCUAGUAAUCGCGCAUCAGCCAUGGCGCGGUGAAUACGUUCCCGGGCCUUGUACACACCGCCCGUCAAGCCAUGAAAGCCGGGGGUACCUGAAGUACGUAACCGCAAGGAGCGUCCUAGGGUAAAACUGGUAAUUGGGGCUAAGUCGUAACAAGGUAGCCGUACCGGAAGGUGCGGCUG